GCCUGGGUGGCUCAGUUGGUUGAGCAUCCGACUUCGGCUCGGGUCAUGAUCUCACGGUUCGUGGGUUCAAAUCCCGCGUCGGGCU
This 85-nucleotide transfer RNA is filed under the name Felis catus (domestic cat). It matches the Rfam family "tRNA". Rfam says of the family: Transfer RNA (tRNA) molecules are approximately 80 nucleotides in length. Their secondary structure includes four short double-helical elements and three loops (D, anti-codon, and T loops). The record is from Rfam by way of RNAcentral. Lineage: Eukaryota; Metazoa; Chordata; Mammalia; Carnivora; Felidae.